UGGGGAAUAUUGGACAAUGGGCGAAAGCCUGAUCCAGCCAUGCCGCGUGAGUGACGAAGGUCUUCGGAUUGUAAAACUCUUUUGGCGGGGACGAUAAUGACGGUACCCGCAGAAUAAGCCCCGGCUAACUUCGUGCCAGCAGCCGCGGUAAUACGAAGGGGGCUAGCGUUGUUCGGAAUCACUGGGCGUAAAGCGCACGUAGGCGGAUGUGCCAGUCAGGGGUGAAAUCCCGGAGCUCAACUCCGGAACUGCCUCUGAUACUGCACGUCUUGAGUUCGAGAGAGGUGGGUGGAAUUCCUAGUGUAGAGGUGAAAUUCGUAGAUAUUAGGAAGAACACCGGUGGCGAAGGCGGCCCACUGGCUCGAUACUGACGCUGAGGUGCGAAAGCGUGGGGAGCAAACAGGAUUAGAUACCCAAGUAGUCCCUGAGCGGGCUGGCAAGGCGCAU
RNAcentral lists this ribosomal RNA (447 nucleotides) under uncultured bacterium. RNAcentral describes it as "bacterial SSU rRNA". It matches the Rfam family "Bacterial small subunit ribosomal RNA", at positions 355 to 825 of the family's 1533-position model. The record is from RNAcentral.